UCCAAUGAGGUCUUGAUUUAAAUUUUUCA
RNAcentral lists this non-coding RNA (29 nucleotides) under Rattus norvegicus (Norway rat). The record is from RNAcentral. Lineage: Eukaryota; Metazoa; Chordata; Mammalia; Rodentia; Muridae.